CAACGUGGGGAACCUGCCCCAUAGUCUGGGAUACCACUUGGAAACAGGUGCUAAUACCGGAUAAGAAAGCAGAUCGCAUGAUCAGCUUUUAAAAGGCGGCGUAAGCUGUCGCUAUGGGAUGGCCCCGCGGUGCAUUAGCUAGUUGGUAAGGUAAAGGCUUACCAAGGCGAUGAUGCAUAGCCGAGUUGAGAGACUGAUCGGCCACAUUGGGACUGAGACACGGCCCAAACUCCUACGGGAGGCAGCAGGG
Molecule: ribosomal RNA, 250 nt
Filed under: uncultured Lactobacillus sp.
Lineage: Bacteria; Bacillati; Bacillota; Bacilli; Lactobacillales; Lactobacillaceae
Description: partial 16S ribosomal RNA
Rfam family: Bacterial small subunit ribosomal RNA
Source: RNAcentral